Pelobates cultripes (western spadefoot toad) is the source of this 266-nucleotide non-coding RNA. The record is from the annotation of a GenBank genome assembly. Lineage: Eukaryota; Metazoa; Chordata; Amphibia; Anura; Pelobatidae.
AAUAUGACUCGCAAAGGGGUUAGUAGCACAGUAUGGUCCAAAGAGGCUGUGAAUGCUUUUGAGACUCUUAAACAAAGAUUUGCCUCUGCGGACAUACUAAAACAUCCUGACACCAGUAAACCUUUUAUAUUGGAGGUUGAUGCAUCCGAGACAGGGGUAGGGGCUGUUCUCUCUGAGAGAAAGCCAGGGAACACCAUUGCAUCCUUGUGGCUACUUCUCCAGAAAGAUGUCUCCUGCUGAGCGCAACUAUGAUAUUGGCAAUAGAG